GUCUAUGGCCACACCACCCUGAACACACCUGAUCUCAUGUGAUCGUGAAAGCUAAGCAGGGCAGGUCCCAGUUAGUACUUGGGUGGGAGAAUAGUAAAUAAGUAAAAGAGACAUAGAAA
This 119-nucleotide ribosomal RNA is filed under the name Jaculus jaculus (lesser Egyptian jerboa). The record is from RNAcentral. Lineage: Eukaryota; Metazoa; Chordata; Mammalia; Rodentia; Dipodidae.